CCUACGGGAGGCAGCAGUAGGGAAUUUUGCACAAUGGGGGAAACCCUGACGCAGCAAUGCCGCGUGAUCGAAGAAGCACUUCGGUGCGUAAAGAUCUGUCAGUGGGGACGAAAACUGCAGGUACCCACCAAGGAAGCACCGGCUAACUCCGUGCCAGCAGCCGCGGUAAUACGGGGGGGGCAAGCGUUGUCCGGAAUCAUUGGGCGUAAAGGGUGCGUAGGUGGCACGUUAAGUCUGGUGUUAAAGGCGGAAGCUCAACCUUCGUAGGGCAUUGGAUACUGGCGAGCUGGAAUGCCGUAGAGGUAAAUGGAAUUCCUGGUGUAGCGGUGAAAUGCGUAGAUAUCAGGAGGAACAUCAGUGGCGUAAGCGCUUUACUGGGCCGUAACUGACGCUGAGGAACGAAAGCCUGGGUAGCAAAUGGGAUUAGAUACCCGAGUAGUC
RNAcentral lists this ribosomal RNA (441 nucleotides) under uncultured bacterium. RNAcentral describes it as "partial 16S ribosomal RNA". It matches the Rfam family "Bacterial small subunit ribosomal RNA", at positions 338 to 795 of the family's 1533-position model. The record is from RNAcentral.